CCUACGGGCGGCAGCAGUGGGGAAUAUUGCACAAUGGGGGAAACCCUGAUGCAGCGAAGCCGCGUGAGUGAAGAAGUAUUUCGGUACGUAAAGCUCUAUCAGCAGGGAAGAAAAUGACGGUACCUGACUAAGAAGCACCGGCUAACUACGUGCCAGCAGCCGCGGUAAUACGUAGGGGGCAAGCGUUAUCCGGAUUUACUGGGUGUAAAGGGAGCGUAGACGGCAGCGCAAGUCUGGAGUGAAAUCCCAUGGCUUAACCAUGGAACUGCUUUGGAAACUGUGCAGCUAGAGUGCAGGAGAGGUAAGCGGAAUUCCUAGUGUAGCGGUGAAAUGCGUAGAUAUUAGGAGGAACACCAGUGGCGAAGGCGGCUUACUGGACUGUAACUGACGUUGAGGCUCGAAAGCGUGGGGAGCAAACAGGAUUAGAUACCCCAGUAGUC
This 440-nucleotide ribosomal RNA is filed under the name uncultured bacterium. Its description in RNAcentral is "partial 16S ribosomal RNA". It matches the Rfam family "Bacterial small subunit ribosomal RNA", at positions 338 to 795 of the family's 1533-position model. The record is from RNAcentral.